UAUUGGUUGAGGAACAACUUCAAGCUGGUCAUAUAGAAACAACAAUUAGUCCUUGGAACACCCCCAAUUUUGUUAUUAAGAAAAAAAUCAGGUAGCUGGGGGGUUAUUACAGGAUUUCAGGGCAAUAAAUCAUGCAAUUCAGCCUAUGGGAUCAUUACAGUCUGGACUUCCUUCCACCACAGUAAUUCCUUUGGAUUAUAGCUUAAAUUUAAUAGACCUGAAAGAUUGUUUCUUUUCAAUAAAAUUACAUCCUGAGGAUUGUGAAAAAUUUGCUUUCAG
RNAcentral lists this small RNA (279 nucleotides) under Marmota monax (woodchuck). Lineage: Eukaryota; Metazoa; Chordata; Mammalia; Rodentia; Sciuridae. The record is from RNAcentral.